UUCCAAGGCUUCUGGAGGAGUUUGAGAGGUCCCUCGACAGAGCUGCAGCCCUCUGCAAGGCAGACACCACAUCCCCUUUGUUCGGAGGAGCGCGGUAACGGGAACGCAUCAGCAGAGAAAGGCAGAUCAACGCCAAGCAUCUGGAAGCUGAAGACGGAGAAAACCCAAUUAAAAAUCAGGCAAUGCUGCGAGUGGAGCAAGCCAUGAAGUGAUGGAUUAUUCAUUCCACGAUGUCUUCAAUUCAAGAGAGGGGCAGAACAAUCGAUCCUUCCAGCACUUCCAUACUGUUGGUUGAUGAUGAACACUCCAUCCCAACUUUUGGGAGAGCCAGGCCCUGACUUGGCAAACUGCAAAGUUCCCAUGGAUGAUGGAGGACAAUCCACCAGCCCUACUAGGGUGAAGCCACCCUGGGGCACUGAGCCCUCAGUAAAGCAGAGCUGGAAGAAGAACAAAGUCAACCCAGGCCGCCCUAGCUGAAGUACAUGGGAAA
Long non-coding RNA from Melozone crissalis (California towhee), 490 nucleotides. RefSeq lists it as uncharacterized. Lineage: Eukaryota; Metazoa; Chordata; Aves; Passeriformes; Passerellidae. The transcript is spliced from 3 exons. The record is from RefSeq and is a predicted model, not a curated record.